UGUGCCUCACAUGGCACAUCGACGGGAAGCUGUGAGGGGAACACGGCCUCCCUUCCACACAUCAACAGGAAAGGGCUGUGUUUGGUGGAGGUGUGGACCUUUGGUCUCAGCGAGAACAGAACUGCAUCCAAAUACACAUCCCAGUUGUUUUGUGGAUCAUUGACCAACUGUGUCAGAGCUCUAAAAGACAGAGAGACAAAAAGAAAAUGGAUGAAGCCUCAAGAAUGAGGCAGGUGAGUGGAGCAGCUUCA
Long non-coding RNA from Thalassophryne amazonica, 251 nucleotides. RefSeq lists it as uncharacterized. NCBI's taxonomy places the organism in Eukaryota, Metazoa, Chordata, Actinopteri, Batrachoidiformes, Batrachoididae. The transcript is spliced from 3 exons. The record is from RefSeq and is a predicted model, not a curated record.